AGCAGUAGGGAAUCUUCCAAUGGACGAAAGUCUGACCGAGCAACGCCGCGUGAGUGAAGAAGGUUUUCGGAUCGUAAAACUCUGUUGUUAGAGAAGAACAAGGAUGAGAGUAACUGUUCAUCCCUUGACGGUAUCUAACCAGAAAGCCACGGCUAACUACGUGCCAGCAGCCGCGGUAAUACGUAGGUGGCAAGCGUUGUCCGGAUUUAUUGGGCGUAAAGCGAGCGCAGGCGGUUUCUUAAGUCUGAUGUGAAAGCCCCCGGCUCAACCGGGGAGGGUCAUUGGAAACUGGGAGACUUGA
This 301-nucleotide ribosomal RNA is filed under the name Enterococcus faecium. RNAcentral's name for it is "bacterial SSU rRNA". It matches the Rfam family "Bacterial small subunit ribosomal RNA", at positions 350 to 645 of the family's 1533-position model. Lineage: Bacteria; Bacillati; Bacillota; Bacilli; Lactobacillales; Enterococcaceae. The record is from RNAcentral.